AAUCCACGAGGCAACGCACUUCAAUUUUCCAAUAGCAACUGAGCAAUUUAGCAAACUGCUUACCCACAAAAAGCAGCGUGCCAGAUAUGGUUGUAUAACACUGGCCAAUAGAUGGCAGCACACAUUAGCAUGUUGGCCCCAUUCUGUGAUGCACAAAUGGAAAGCACUGCUGGUCCUUUCGGUCCCCCAGCACCACUCAGCCACGUAGGCUGCAGUAGCAACAUGAGCACACAGGGAUUCUGCUGAUCACCCCUCAAUGUAAAGCCUUACUAUACCAGCCAGUAACCACAACCCCUGUGGUAGCGCUAAGAAAUCUUCAGCAGAAACAAUACGAAACAGCGGGCUGGUUGAGUCCAGCACAACGGAUGCACUCGUCACAAGCUCCAGGAUUUUGAACUGCAGCUGGAGGAGAAAACAACAAACCCAGCGAGAGAAAAAUGUAUUAUCAUUACAUUAACAGAUUGGAUAUAGCAUAAUUAGUGCUCUGGCAUCUGUUUCUCCCGUAGGUCUCCCACGUGUACUUUCAGAAUGUAUCCCAUAGGGGGCUAUGUGGUGAUCACGAAUAUUAUCCUCAAGGCUUUUGCUUGGAAAAAAAUAAAUUCUAAUAUAGACAAGAAAACAGUGUAAUGUAUAAUUUCCGUGCUACUUAAAGACAAUAAACAAUGACAUCACGUCAACCUGCAAGCC
Long non-coding RNA from Gadus macrocephalus (Pacific cod), 687 nucleotides. RefSeq lists it as uncharacterized. The record is from RefSeq and is a predicted model, not a curated record. The transcript is spliced from 2 exons. NCBI's taxonomy places the organism in Eukaryota, Metazoa, Chordata, Actinopteri, Gadiformes, Gadidae.